GGGAAGCGGAGCGGGGGGUGACAGGACAAGGGGAAUAGAUUCCAGGAGAGAACAGGUUCAGAGUAGCUAUAGAGGAGGAAGUUCUCUGCUGUGAGGGUGGUGAAGCGCGGGCUGCCCAGAGAAGUUGUGGAUCUGCAUCCCUGGAAGUGUUCAAGGCCAUGCUGGAUGGGGCUCUGACCAGCCUAGUCUAGUGGAAGGUGUCUCUGCUCAUGGCAGGGGGAUUGAAACGAGAUGAUCUGUAAGGUCCUUUCCAACCCAUGCCAUUCCGUGCCUCUACGAUGAAUUCUGUGUGGGGUGAGCUGUGUCGGGGGCAGGGUGAGCACAGGGCACGGUUGCUCAUGCAGUGUGUGUACCUGGCGUUAGGCGUCUGCCAGGGGCAGGCACAGACGUUUCUUCCAAGUGAUGACUUGGAUCAGUGUUCUACACUGGGUUAUUUUUAUCCAAGGCCUGUUACUUAAUCUUGUUUCCAUGAUUGCCCACAUGCUUUUAUUUGCACGUUACGGAGAGAGUAGGAGCAUGUGGUGUGAAGGAUGACAAGUAGAAAUAGAAACUAAAGCUACAGCUUUAGAGGUAGUGAAUGAGGCUAGUUGGUAUCUCUCUUGGCAAAUAAAAAGAAAUGAAAGAGAACUAAAGAUUUUUGCUGAUGAAGUGUGAAGAUUGCAUUAGUCUGUUAUUUAAACUGCACAUUUUAUCAUUUUAGUCAUCCUUUGACCCACCAAAAUGGACUUUUACACUGAGAACAGUUCCAUAUAAACAGGACAAGUAUAAACCAGUGCUGGAAAAACAUUCUUUAUUCACGGUGAACAAACUGACCAAAGAACCGUGUGAGCUGCCUUAUGUGGAAGAAAAUUAAUGAAGCGUUUUUGGGGUGAUGACUGCACAUUUUUACCAAUGUUAACUCCUCCGUUGAAUUUGAAUGUUUUCAGUCUGAAGAUGAACAGUAAAGGACAACAUAGAUGUUGGAGACAGGAGUCUGGUCUGGUAGGCUGUUGAACAUCAUCUGCAGCACGGAACUACAGUCUUUAUCCAAGAAGCAGGGUCCUUUCUUACAGGUGGCAAGAUGCAAAACACGUUUUCAAGUAUCUUCUUCAGCAGAUAUAGGGAACAAAGUAAAAUCAAAGAAGAAAACACUGCAGUUUUCUUAUAAUAGUGGAUAUUAACCUUAUGUUGUCUUUUGUGUCUUUUCGUUGUAGACACUUGUUUGGACUGAGAUGCAUAUUAAAUAACCUCUGACAAUGUGUUAAGAUAGUGAUAGCGUUUAGCAGUGCCCUCUGCAGGCUUUUAUUUGGUAAGCAGAGAAAGCUGUAGCAACUCUGCUCUGUUUGGAUUAUGUGUUUAUACUGGUUGAGCUGGUUCUUUUUAUGUAUUUUGCUAGCAGAGUACCAUCUGAACUUUGGAAUUUUGUUCCCAAGCUUCUUGGAAAAAAACACAGAGUGCUGUAAGUGAUCAUCCACUAAGUGCUACAGAAAUUACCCACUUGUUUCAAGAGCUUAUUUCGUAUCAGUUUGUGUGUUACAACCAUACAGUGUCCUGGGCAACAGGAAUUCAAGUUCCCAUCUCUCUUCCCCCUCGGAACUUAGUUCUUUCUGUA
Long non-coding RNA from Corapipo altera (White-ruffed manakin), 1591 nucleotides. RefSeq lists it as uncharacterized. The record is from RefSeq and is a predicted model, not a curated record. NCBI's taxonomy places the organism in Eukaryota, Metazoa, Chordata, Aves, Passeriformes, Pipridae. The transcript has 5 exons.